Molecule: ribosomal RNA, 367 nt
Filed under: uncultured Geobacillus sp.
Lineage: Bacteria; Bacillati; Bacillota; Bacilli; Caryophanales; Anoxybacillaceae
Description: bacterial SSU rRNA
Rfam family: Bacterial small subunit ribosomal RNA
Source: RNAcentral
CCCCCUUCGGGGGACAGGGUGACAGGUGGUGCAUGGUUGUCGUCAGCUCGUGUCGUGAGAUGUUGGGUUAAGUCCCGCAACGAGCGCAACCCUCGCCUCUAGUUGCCAGCAUCGGUUGGGCACUCUAGAGGGACUGCCGGCGACAAGUCGGAGGAAGGUGGGGAUGACGUCAAAUCAUCAUGCCCCUUAUGACCUGGGCUACACACGUGCUACAAUGGGCGGUACAAAGGGCUGCGAACCCGCGAGGGGGAGCGAAUCCCAAAAAGCCGCUCUCAAUUCGGAUUGCAGGCUGCAACUCGCCUGCAUGAAGCCGGAAUCGCUAGUAAUCGCGGAUCAGCAUGCCGCGGUGAAUACGUUCCCGGGCCUU